AUGUCUUAUAGAUUAAAAUUAUAAGUCGAUUCUGCCCACUGAAUGUAAUUUAAAUGGCUGCAGUAUUUUGACUGUACAAAGGUAGCAAAAUAAAUUGUUUUUUAAUUGAAAACUGGAAUGAAGGAGUUAAUGAAAUAAAAAUUGUUUCAAAUUUAGUGAUUGAAUUUAAAAUUUAAGUUAAAAUUCUUAAAUUUUUUUAUUAGACAAGAAGACCCUAUAGAAUUUAAUAAUAUUAUUAAUUAAUUUAAUAUUGUAAUUUUAAUUUAAUUAAUAUUAUAUUUUGUUGGGAGGAUAGUAAAAUUAGAUAAACUUUUAUUUAUAUAAAAACAUUGAUUUAUGAAUAAUUGAUUAUUAUUAUAAUUAUAAGAAAAAAUUACCUUAGGGAUAACAGCGUAAUAUUUUUGGAGAGUUCUUAUUGAAAAAAAUGAUUGCGACCUCGAUGUUGAAUUAUGGUAAAAUUUUGGUGUAGAAUUUAAAAUUGUUAGUCUGUUCGACUAUUAAAAUCAUACAUGAUCU
RNAcentral lists this ribosomal RNA (516 nucleotides) under Delta conoideum. RNAcentral's name for it is "partial 16S ribosomal RNA". The stretch from base 384 to 516 matches the Rfam family "Bacterial large subunit ribosomal RNA", at positions 2473 to 2606 of the family's 2925-position model. Lineage: Eukaryota; Metazoa; Arthropoda; Insecta; Hymenoptera; Vespidae. The record is from RNAcentral.